UUCGCAAUGCCCGAAAGGGUGACGAAGCGACGCCGCGUGCGGGAAGAAGGCCCUAGGGUUGUAAACCGCUGUCAGGAGUUAAGAAAUAUAGAGGUGUUAAUAGCGCUUCUAUUUGACGAAAGCUCCAGAGGAAGCCACGGCUAACUCUGUGCCAGCAGCCGCGGUAAUACAGAGGUGGCAAGCGUUGUUCGGAAUUAUUGGGCGUAAAGAGCACGUAGGCGGCCCUGCAAGUCAGUUGUGAAAGCCUUCCGCUUAACGGGAGAACGGCAGCUGAUACUACGGGGCUAGAGUACGGGAGGGGAGAGUGGAACUUCUGGUGGAGCGGUGAAAUGCGUAGAUAUCAGAGGGAACGCCGGCGGCGAAAGCGACUCUCUGGACCGAAACUGACGCUGAGUGUGCGAAAGCUAGGGGAGUAAACGGGAUUAGAUACCCCGGUAGUCUUAGCCGUAAACGAUGGGCACUAAGUAGAGGGGUUUUGAUUAUCUCUCUGCCGGAGCUAACGCAUUAAGUGCCCCGCCUGGGGAGUACGGCCGCAAGGCUAAAACUCAAAAGAAUUGACGGGGGCUCGCACGAGCGGUGGAGCAUGUGGCUUAAUUCGAUGCAACGCGAAGAACCUUACCGGGGCUUGACAUGAUAGAAGUAGAAACCCGAAAGGACGACGAACGGUAUCCAAUCUGUAACUAUCGCAGGUGUUGCAUGGCUGUCGUCAGCUCGUGUCGUGAGACGUUGGGUUAAGUCCCCUAACGAGCGAAACCCUUGUCUUUAGUUGCCAUCAGGUUAAGCUGGGCACUCUAAAGAGACUGCCGUCGUUAAGACGGAGGAAGGUGGGGAUGACGUCAAGUCAUCAUGGCCCUUAUGUCCCGGGCUGCACACGUGCUACAAUGGUCGAUACAAAGGGAUGCAAAAUCGUGAGAUGGAGCGAAACCCAUAAAGUCGAUCCCAGUUCAGAUUGGAGGCUGAAACUCGCCUCCAUGAAGUAGGAAUCGCUAGUAAUCGCGGAUCAGCCUCGCCGCGGUGAAUAUGUUCCCGAGCCUUGUACACACCGCCCGUG
RNAcentral lists this ribosomal RNA (1051 nucleotides) under uncultured Planctomycetota bacterium. RNAcentral describes it as "bacterial SSU rRNA". It matches the Rfam family "Bacterial small subunit ribosomal RNA", at positions 365 to 1398 of the family's 1533-position model. The record is from RNAcentral. Lineage: Bacteria; Pseudomonadati; Planctomycetota.